GAGGGUAUAGCUCAGUGGUAGCGAGCGUGCUUAGCACGCACGAGGUCCUGAGUUCAAUCCCCAGUACCUCCA
Molecule: transfer RNA, 72 nt
Organism: Camelus ferus (Wild Bactrian camel)
Lineage: Eukaryota; Metazoa; Chordata; Mammalia; Artiodactyla; Camelidae
Rfam family: tRNA
About the family: Transfer RNA (tRNA) molecules are approximately 80 nucleotides in length. Their secondary structure includes four short double-helical elements and three loops (D, anti-codon, and T loops).
Source: Rfam